This 253-nucleotide ribosomal RNA is filed under the name uncultured bacterium. RNAcentral describes it as "partial 16S ribosomal RNA". It matches the Rfam family "Bacterial small subunit ribosomal RNA", at positions 524 to 776 of the family's 1533-position model. The record is from RNAcentral.
UACAGAGGGGGCAAGCGUUGUUCGGAAUUACUGGGCGUAAAGCGCACGUAGGCGGAUCGAUCAGUCAGGGGUGAAAUCCCAGAGCUCAACUCUGGAACUGCCUUUGAUACUGUCGAUCUGGAGUAUGGAAGAGGUGAGUGGAAUUCCGAGUGUAGAGGUGAAAUUCGUAGAUAUUCGGAGGAACACCAGUGGCGAAGGCGGCUCACUGGUCCAUUACUGACGCUGAGGUGCGAAAGCGUGGGGAGCAAACAGG